RNAcentral lists this ribosomal RNA (464 nucleotides) under uncultured bacterium. Its description in RNAcentral is "partial 16S ribosomal RNA". It matches the Rfam family "Bacterial small subunit ribosomal RNA", at positions 28 to 507 of the family's 1533-position model. The record is from RNAcentral.
GACGAACGCUGGCGGCGUGCUUAACACAUGCAAGUCGAACGGUAAGGCCCCAGCUUGCUGGGGUACACGAGUGGCGAACGGGUGAGUAACACGUGGGUGACCUGCCCCGCACUUCGGGAUAAGCCUGGGAAACUGGGUCUAAUAUCGGAUACGACAGCACCGUGGGGGUGUGGUGGAAAGUGUUUCGGUGUGGGGUGGGCGCGCGGCCCAUCAGCUUGUUGGUGGGGUAAUGGCCUACCAAGGCGGCGAAGGGUAGACGGCCUGAGAGGGUGGACGGGCACAAUGGGACUGAGACACGGCCCAGACGCCUACGGGAGGCAGCAGGGGGGAAUAUUGCACAAUGGGCGGAAGCCUGAUGCAGCGACGCCGCGGGGGGGAUGACGGCCUUCGGGGUGUAAACUCCUUUCGCCUUCGACGAAGGUUUUCUGACGGUAGAUGGAGAAGAAGCACCGGCUAACUACGUG